RNAcentral lists this transfer RNA (72 nucleotides) under Camelus bactrianus (Bactrian camel). It matches the Rfam family "tRNA". Rfam says of the family: Transfer RNA (tRNA) molecules are approximately 80 nucleotides in length. Their secondary structure includes four short double-helical elements and three loops (D, anti-codon, and T loops). The record is from Rfam by way of RNAcentral. RNAcentral also lists the same sequence under 1 other name. Lineage: Eukaryota; Metazoa; Chordata; Mammalia; Artiodactyla; Camelidae.
GAGGGUGUAGGUCAGUGGUAGACUGCGUGCCUAACAUGCACAAGGUCCUGGGUUCAAUCCCCAGUGCCUCCA